RNAcentral lists this ribosomal RNA (557 nucleotides) under Bifidobacterium pseudocatenulatum. Its description in RNAcentral is "bacterial SSU rRNA". It matches the Rfam family "Bacterial small subunit ribosomal RNA", at positions 145 to 711 of the family's 1533-position model. Lineage: Bacteria; Bacillati; Actinomycetota; Actinomycetes; Bifidobacteriales; Bifidobacteriaceae. The record is from RNAcentral.
UUCUCCUGGAAAAAAGGGUGGUAAUGCCGGAUGCUCCGACUCCUCGCAUGGGGUGUCGGGAAAGAUUUCAUCGGUAUGGGAUGGGGUCGCGUCCUAUCAGGUAGUCGGCGGGGUAACGGCCCACCGAGCCUACGACGGGUAGCCGGCCUGAGAGGGCGACCGGCCACAUUGGGACUGAGAUACGGCCCAGACUCCUACGGGAGGCAGCAGUGGGGAAUAUUGCACAAUGGGCGCAAGCCUGAUGCAGCGACGCCGCGUGCGGGAUGACGGCCUUCGGGUUGUAAACCGCUUUUGAUCGGGAGCAAGCCUUCGGGUGAGUGUACCUUUCGAAUAAGCACCGGCUAACUACGUGCCAGCAGCCGCGGUAAUACGUAGGGUGCAAGCGUUAUCCGGAAUUAUUGGGCGUAAAGGGCUCGUAGGCGGUUCGUCGCGUCCGGUGUGAAAGUCCAUCGCUUAACGGUGGAUCUGCGCCGGGUACGGGCGGGCUGGAGUGCGGUAGGGGAGACUGGAAUUCCCGGUGUAACGGUGGAAUGUGUAGAUAUCGAAAAAAAACACCA